Triticum aestivum (bread wheat) is the source of this 126-nucleotide non-coding RNA. The record is from Rfam. Lineage: Eukaryota; Viridiplantae; Streptophyta; Magnoliopsida; Poales; Poaceae.
CAAGUACUCCCUCCGUCCAAGAAAACUUGUCCCAAACUUGUUCCUCAAAUAGAUGUAUCAAGCACUAACUUGAUGCUACAUACAUCCAUUUGUGGGACAAGUUUUUCCGGAUGGAGGGAGUAGCUG